CCUACGGGUGGCAGCAGUGAGGAAUAUUGGUCCAUGGGGGAGAUCCUGAACCAGCCAAGCCGCGUGAGGGAAGACGGCCCUAUGGGUUGUAAACCUCUUUUAUCCGAGAACAAACCCCGUGACGUGUGCCGGACUGCAUGUAUCCGAUGAAAAAGCACCGGCUAACUCCGUGCCAGCAGCCGCGGUAAUACGGAGGUUGCGAGCGUUAUCCGGAUUUAUUGGGUUUAAAGGGUGCGUAGGCGGUCCGUUAAGUAAGUGGUAAAAGUGCGGGGCUCAACCCCGCAGAGCCGUUGAAACUGGCAGACUUGAGUUGGCCAGAAGUACGCGGAAUGCGCGGUGUAGCGGUGAAAUGCAUAGAUAUCGCGCAGAACUCCGAUUGCGAAGGCAGCGUACCGUCGCCAUACUGACGCUGAGGCACGAAAGUGCGGGGAUCGAACAGGAUUAGAUACCCCGGUAGUC
RNAcentral lists this ribosomal RNA (459 nucleotides) under uncultured bacterium. RNAcentral describes it as "partial 16S ribosomal RNA". It matches the Rfam family "Bacterial small subunit ribosomal RNA", at positions 338 to 795 of the family's 1533-position model. The record is from RNAcentral.